GAUGAACCAGACUUUGGCUCAGCUGGCCAGUUCUGUGUGUGCUUUGGAGGUGAUGGAGGGUGGUGGGAUGAUCUGUGCUCUGCUGAAUAUCCUUUUAUCUGUUACAGAGGAACACAGCUGAAUCCUGAAUUUGUUUUUGUGAAU
This is a long non-coding RNA of Morone saxatilis (striped sea-bass), 144 nucleotides long. RefSeq lists it as uncharacterized. The record is from RefSeq and is a predicted model, not a curated record. NCBI's taxonomy places the organism in Eukaryota, Metazoa, Chordata, Actinopteri, Moronidae. The transcript has 2 exons.